RNAcentral lists this ribosomal RNA (463 nucleotides) under uncultured bacterium. RNAcentral's name for it is "partial 16S ribosomal RNA". It matches the Rfam family "Bacterial small subunit ribosomal RNA", at positions 30 to 507 of the family's 1533-position model. The record is from RNAcentral.
CGAACGCUGGCGGCGUGCUUACCACAUGCAAGUCGAACGGAAAGGCCCUGCUUGCAGGGUACUCGAGUGGCGAACGGGUGAGUAACACGUGGGUGAUCUGCCCUGCACUUCGGGAUAAGCCUGGGAAACUGGGUCUAAUACCGGAUAGGAGCCAUUUUUAGUGUGAUGGUUGGAAAGUUUUUUCGGUGUAGGAUGAGCUCGCGGCCUAUCAGCUUGUUGGUGGGGUAAUGGCCUACCAAGGCGGCGACGGGUAGCCGGCCUGAGAGGGUGGACGGCCACAUUGGGACUGAGAUACGGCCCAGACUCCUACGGGAGGCAGCAGUGGGGAAUAUUGCACAAUGGGCGCAAGCCUGAUGCAGCGACGCCGCGUGGGGGAUGACGGCCUUCGGGUUGUAAACUCCUUUCGCUAGGGACGAAGCUUUUUGUGACGGUACCUAGAUAAGAAGCACCGGCUAACUACGUG